Molecule: long non-coding RNA, 2391 nt
Organism: Cucumis sativus (cucumber)
Lineage: Eukaryota; Viridiplantae; Streptophyta; Magnoliopsida; Cucurbitales; Cucurbitaceae
Exons: 3
Source: RefSeq, a predicted model, not a curated record
UGGGAAAGAAAGGAUAGGAUAACUAUCAAGUAGUUGAGGGCUGCCCACUACGCUCCGGAGAUCCAGAGAAAGAAAAGUCGUUUACAAAGAAAAGAAUAGAUUAUGCUGAAGGCGCAAACAAUAUUGCGUCUGACUCGGUAACCAAAAUAGCUGCCUCAAUUCAAGCCCUCGGCAGCUAAAGGCUACUAAUAGUAAUCGUCUGGGUGUUUAGUAAUAACAAUUUCCCCCUUUCUUCUUCCUCUUCUUCCGUUUUUCUUUUCUUUUCUACCCUACUCAGUCACCCACCACAUUCCUCUCUUCUUCUCCUUCUACCCUUCUUCAAUCCACGCCGCAGUCCUUCCGCCAGCGAAGCUGUUGCCGUGUACGUCUACCACGGCCCUGUCGCUUGUCCUUCGUUGGUGCUGGAGUGUCGAUCGGCCGCGCCUUCCUCCGUUCGACUUUGUCCACCCACAACCGUCGCGACUCCGUCUGAAAUCAAGCCAUCGUCCAGAUCUACGAGGCCGUCGCACCUUCGUCCGCGCCGGUUUUCGUCGCCAAACCAGUCGUUCUAAUCUGCCUUGCACGUUGUUGCUUGGGUCGACCGGUGCACUAACGUUUCUGCCCUGCCACGAAGAAUAUUGGGUUUUUGUGGUGUUAAUUGUGGACAGUGUUUGAAUUUUUUUGGGUUCACCAAAGUUGCUUCGAGCAAGUUCAAUUCUCCGUUUAAUUUGUGUAAGUUUCGGAAUUUACAUUAGAGUGAAUGAUUGAAGGGAUGAAAUUGCUUGUGGAAGUAAUGGGUUUCUGUUGGAUUGUGUUUAAUUUGUGUAAGUUUUGGAAUUUACAUUAGAGUGAAUGAUUGAAGGGAUGAAAUUGCUUGUGGAAGUAAUGGGUUUCUGUUCGAUUGUGUUUAGGUUCGUUCGUUGCAUUGUAGUUUGAAAAAGGAGCUUAAGUAAGGUUAAGGUAAGCACUAGCUGAACCUUCCUCCUUAGCCACUGGAGCCUUCACUAAUGUACACAAAACUUAGCCCCCUAAAACCUUCCCAUCAAUACGAGAAUCAUAUGUGCAUAUUCAAAGGUAACCUAUUAUUCAAAGGCAUGGUUGAUCGUGCAGUGGGGGCGUCGAGUGCCUUAUGGUCGCGCCUUUCAUGUGUGUUGCUUGUUGCAUGCAUGGCUUACCCCUUGGCACCUUAACCUCAAAACUAACCUCCUUACCUUCCUUUGUGUGUAGCACCACUUUUGUCCUCGGCCCACCUUGUUCAAUUCCUCGAAAUGGUUUCUAUUUAGAAUCCUACUUCCCACUUUGGAGAUUAAUAACUGAAAAUCUAUAACUCAAAUGAGAAAAUUUCCUUCUACAAAGUCAUUCUGAAUUGUUUUAAAUAGCUUAUCUCUAAAUUUCAGCUUCAGAUUCGAAGUAAUGCAUUAUGUAGCCCUUCAAGAACUCAACACUACUGAAAUUUUCUUAAAAAUGACCUUUGGUUCUUUUGUUCAAAAGUUAAACUCUUUUCUCAACCCUUUUUAGUUUGGCAGCUUUACAGUAGAAACUAGACUCAUUUUGAAAGAUUUUAAAAUUGGAAUUACCCAAAUGGCACGAGUGGUCUGAAAGAACUUCUCCUCCAAAUUUUCCUUUAUAUUGAGAUGGACUUUCAAUUGACACCUUCUCCUUGCAUCGUUGACCUCUUGACACUUCCUCUUUGCAUGUCUAAUCUCUUGGCACCUCGUACUUGCAGCCUAUUCAAGUGUUUGCAUGCUACAACAUGUGGAUUCCACUCCACCUCUUGGCAUGACACUUAAGUUCCCUUCCACCUCAUGCUAAAAAAUGUUGUUGAUUUUAACUUUUCUUUUGCCACUAUUAAUACCUAGUCACCCUUCUUUUCAUUUAUUUGCUCAAGGCUACCAUGACACCUUGUUUAUGACAUUAAAACAAUGACACACCAACUAUGUCGUUUAAACCAUGAUACCAAAAUUUCUUUUAUAACUAACACUCCUCAUAAAAUUUCUUCUUCGUUAAGGUAGCUACAUGUAUAUUUAAGAGACUUAUAGAGAUCUUAAGGCUCAGGGUUUAUAUUGAGAAUGUUGGUGCGAGAAAUGGAGGAAUACUGAUUUUUCAGAGUAAUCCAUACCUGAUUUGAUGAAUCGCAACCAACAAUAUAUGUUUGGGCUUUUGCAAAUAAAGUCACAAUAUUGAUUAGAGUCAUGAAUGCAUUAUCUUUGGAAAUCCAUUCAUCGUAUAAAGGAUUGAUAGCAUGAAUAGAGGACGCCGAAUUUGACGAAACUUCAAAGGUUGAUGAUCUUGUUGAAUCUUUUGAAUUUGUUACUGUCUUUUUGGUGGAGCUUGAUUUGAUCCAUCAACAAAGUCAAAACGCUUGUGUGCUUUCAAUAUGAAUUAGAACUAAAACAAUACAUAGUUUGUUGA